This 609-nucleotide ribosomal RNA is filed under the name Meripilus pouzarii. RNAcentral's name for it is "Physisporinus pouzarii partial large subunit ribosomal RNA". The record is from RNAcentral. Lineage: Eukaryota; Fungi; Basidiomycota; Agaricomycetes; Polyporales; Meripilaceae.
CAAAAAUGGGUGGUAAAUUCCAUCUAAAGCUAGAUAUUGGCGAGAGACCGAUAGCGAACAAAGUACCGUGAGGGAAAGAUGAAAAGCACUUUGGAAAGAGAGUUAAACAGUACGUGAAAUUGCUGAAAAGGGAAACACUUGAAGUCAGUCGCGUCGUUCAGAACUCAGCCUGGCCUUGGCUUGGUGCAUUUUCUGAAUGACGGGCCAGCAUCAAUUUUGACUGUUGGAUAAAGGUCAGAGAAAUGUGGCUCCUUUGGGAGUGUUAUAGUCUCUGAUUGCAUACAAUGGUUGGGAUUGAGGAACUCAGCAUGCCUUUAUGGUCGGGGUUCGCCCACGUUCAUGCUUAGGAUGCUGGCGUAAUGGCUUUAAAUGACCCGUCUUGAAACACGGACCAAGGAGUCUAACAUGCCUGCGAGUAUUUGGGUGGAAAACCCGAGUGCGCAAUGAAAGUGAAAGUUGGGAUCCCUGUCGUGGGGAGCACCGACGCCCGGACCAGACCUUCUGUGACGGAUCCGCGGUAGAGCAUGUAUGUUGGGACCCGAAAGAUGGUGAACUAUGCCUGAAUAGGGUGAAGCCAGAGGAAACURUGGUGGAAAGGUGGUAGCGAUU